GACGAACGCUGGCGGCGUGCUUAACACAUGCAAGUCGAACGGAAAGGCCCUGCUUUUGUGGGGUGCUCGAGUGGCGAACGGGUGAGUAACACGUGAGUAACCUGCCCUUGACUUUGGGAUAACUUCAGGAAACUGGGGCUAAUAUCGGAUAGGAGCUCCUGCUGCAUGGGGGGGGUUGGAAAGUUUCGGCGGUGGGGGAUGGACUCGCGGCUUAUCGGCUUGUUGGUGGGGUUGUGGCUGACCAAGGCUUUGACGGGUAGCCGGCCUGGGAGGGUGACCGGCCACCAUGGGACUGAGAUAGGCACCAGACUCCUACGGGAGGCAGAAGGGGGGAAUAUUGCACAGUGGGCGGGAGCCUGAUGCAGCAGCGCCGCGUGCGGGAUGACGGCCUUCGGGUUGUAAACCGCUUUCGCCUGUGACGAAGCGUGAGUGACGGUAAUGAGUAAAGAAGCACCGGCUAACUACGUG
RNAcentral lists this ribosomal RNA (468 nucleotides) under uncultured bacterium. RNAcentral describes it as "partial 16S ribosomal RNA". It matches the Rfam family "Bacterial small subunit ribosomal RNA", at positions 28 to 507 of the family's 1533-position model. The record is from RNAcentral.